UACGUAGGGGGCAAGCGUUGUCCGGAUUUAUUGGGCGUAAAGGGUCUGUAGGUGGCCAACUAAGUCAGACGUGAAAUCCCUCAGCUUAACUGGGGAACUGCGUCUGAUACUGGAUGGCUUGAGUGUGGGAGAGGAAUGCGGAAUUCCAGGUGUAGCGGUGAAAUGCGUAGAUAUCUGGAGGAACACCGGUGGCGAAGGCGGCAUUCUGGACCAUAACUGACACUGAGAGACGAAAGCCAGGGGAGCAAACGGG
RNAcentral lists this ribosomal RNA (253 nucleotides) under uncultured bacterium. Its description in RNAcentral is "partial 16S ribosomal RNA". It matches the Rfam family "Bacterial small subunit ribosomal RNA", at positions 524 to 776 of the family's 1533-position model. The record is from RNAcentral.